RNAcentral lists this ribosomal RNA (478 nucleotides) under uncultured bacterium. Its description in RNAcentral is "partial 16S ribosomal RNA". It matches the Rfam family "Bacterial small subunit ribosomal RNA", at positions 28 to 523 of the family's 1533-position model. The record is from RNAcentral.
GACGAACGCUGGCGCCGUCCUUAACACAUGCAAGUCGAACGGUAAGGCCCUUCGGGGUACACGAGUGGCGAACGGGUGAGUAACACGUGGGUGAUCUGCCCUGCACUUCGGGAUAAGCCUGGGAAACUGGGUCUAAUACCGGAUAGGACCACUGCCUGCAUGGGUGGUGGUGGAAAGCUUUUGCGGUGUGGGAUGGGCCCGCGGCCUAUCAGCUUGUUGGUGGGGUGAUGGCCUACCAAGGCGACGACGGGUAGCCGGCCUGAGAGGGUGACCGGCAACACUGGGACGGAGAUACGGCCCAGACUCCUACGGGAGGCAGCAUGGGGGAAUAUUGCACAAUGGGCGCAAGCCUGAUGCAGCGACGCCGCGUGAGGGAUGACGGCCUUCGGGUUGUAAACCUCUUUCAGCACCGACGAAGCGCAAGUGACGGUAGGUGCAGAAGAAGGACCGGCCAACUACGUGCCAGCAGCCGCAGUAA